GUGACCGCCUGUCCGCCCCAUUGGUGAGUACGUGGCGCGCAUUUGGCCCUUUCAAGGGGAGCGUAUCUGCACUUCAUUGUGUGGUGCGGGAUCCUUGACUUUUACUUUGAGGAAAUAGGAGUGUUCCAAGCAGGCUCUCGUCGUGCACAGCUCACCAUGGAAUAAUAGCAUUGGACCUCAAUUCUAAUCUGUUGGUUGCCAGAAGCGAGGUAAUGAUGAAAAGGGAUAGUUGGGGGCAUUCGUAUUUAACUGUCAAAGGUGAAAUUCUUGGAUUUGUUAAAGACAGACUACUGCGAAAGCAUCUGCCAUGGAUGUUUUCAUUGAUCAAAAACGAAAGUUAGGGGAUCGAAAACAAUCAAAUACCGUCCUAGUCUUAACUAUAAACCAUGCCAGCUAGAGAUCGGAGGUUGUUCGUUUUGUGACCCCUUCAGCAUCUUGAGAGAAAUCAAAGCCUUUGGGUUCCGGGGGGAGUAUGGUCGCAAGGCUGAAACUUAAAGGAAUUGACAGAAGGGCACCACCAGGAGUGGAGCCUGCGGCUUAAUUUGACUCAACACGGGGAAACUUACCAGGUCCAGACUGGGUAAGGAUGUACAGAUUGAUAGCUCUUUACAGAUUCUCAGGGUGGUGGUGCAUGGCCGUUCUUAG
This 645-nucleotide ribosomal RNA is filed under the name uncultured eukaryote. Its description in RNAcentral is "SSU rRNA". It matches the Rfam family "Eukaryotic small subunit ribosomal RNA", at positions 651 to 1297 of the family's 1831-position model. The record is from RNAcentral.